AUCUGAAACCAACAAAAACCAUUAGGAAACAUGAACAAGAUACUACACCGACAAUUUACAUUUUCAGAUUUGAAAACAUGGCGGAAUGUGUGAUUACCAUACAGGAUAUCCUUGAUGAACAGUAAUGGGAUUUCGAGGAGUAAAAUGGGAGUUUUACAGCCAGCUGGAAAAGUGCCCUCGGAAGAAUACAUGGAGCCUUUGGUGGGAAGGGGAUAUAUUUAGCGAUCCCAUUCACCAUGAUGAAUGCAACAUUAGCAUUACCCAUCAGCACCAAGUGACCAGUGCAAGCCAAAACCGAAAGUUGGGACAACAUUAGCAUCGUUCUAACAAAAGACAUAAUUUAAUGCUGGAAUAUUUUAUGUGUUUAUUGACUAACGCUAUAUACGUCCUUCAGGGACCAGACAUUGCAGAGAUACGUCUAUAAUAUAUUCAUGGAUAUAGUUCCUGAACAGUGGAAGGAUAUAGGUCAGAACACAAGGUAUACUUCGUUGGAAACUCGUUAAUGGACGAAGGAUUUACAUCAGCGAGGAUGAACAAGAAACAACGAUGCUCACUCAGUUUUCAGGCGAUGAUUGUCCAAACGCAAUUCUUGUGUUAUUUUAUCAAGAACUGUGUCUGGACAUCAGUGCUUGAGACUAUAUCGGCUUCCUGUGACGUCAUCACAAGCAAAGGUCAUUACAGUUCAUACCGAAGAGGAAUUUCCUGCUAAAUUGAUUGCUUCUUUGGAAUACUUCACCUACCACGGGUCUAUGUGGCGUAUAUUUUUUAUUUUGUUGAUUUACAGGAAGCCCACAUAUACUACAAUAUGGUAUAUUCAACAUUUACACCAGUAGGUCUUCGUAGAUAACAAAUUAAUGCCUGCAAACCUGAAGGAUGCAGCGUUUUCCUGAAAUAGAGUAGAAUUAUAUAAGUUAUAGAGUUAUAUUAUAGUUAUUCGUCACCUCCGUACACCAAAACUGCUAUUUAUUUGUAUAUUUAUUCAUUAGUAACUCUGUUUGAAAAUAUGUUAAGAAAAUAACAAACAUUAUGUUAGGGAAGUAGACAUAUCUAUCUUGCCCCUGAUUUAAUCCAUUCAUACAUGCAUGUCACUGCAAUUCUUGGUGGGUGUUUGAAGAUAACCUCAGAAAUGAUUACAAACACAUUGACACAAGUAACAUCAGAAAUUGUUUUGUAUUUUCCCCCAUGAGAAUAGGGAAUAUUUCAUGCCAAUCUUGAACAACAAAGAAAAAUGACAUGAUAAUACUUUCGAAUAUUGUGUAGACAGAGAAAGGCAAAUAUACACAUUCUGUUUGUCAGUUAAUAUACUUUUUAAUAACAUUUUUAUGUCUGCAUUUUGUGAAAUUACUCGUCAGAAUAUUGCCAUAUGGACAAAUAUUUAUUCAUGUGCAUUGUCUAUAUGCUUAAAUGCACACAAUUUGCGAACGGAGUUCAGUUUAAUAGAAAAUCAAACAUUUCACGAUAAUUUGUUUAUGUAUCUGAGGAGGAGGUAAAGUAAUUUAUUUAUAACAAUAUUUGUAAAAUAAAUAAAACAUUCUUUGUUGAUUCAGUA
This is a long non-coding RNA of Pecten maximus, 1549 nucleotides long. RefSeq lists it as uncharacterized. The transcript has 2 exons. The record is from RefSeq and is a predicted model, not a curated record. NCBI's taxonomy places the organism in Eukaryota, Metazoa, Mollusca, Bivalvia, Pectinida, Pectinidae.